This 71-nucleotide transfer RNA is filed under the name Marmota monax (woodchuck). RNAcentral describes it as "tRNA.Ala". The stretch from base 6 to 66 matches the Rfam family "tRNA", at positions 6 to 65 of the family's 71-position model. From Rfam's summary of the family: Transfer RNA (tRNA) molecules are approximately 80 nucleotides in length. Their secondary structure includes four short double-helical elements and three loops (D, anti-codon, and T loops). Lineage: Eukaryota; Metazoa; Chordata; Mammalia; Rodentia; Sciuridae. The record is from RNAcentral.
GAGGCUGUGGCUCAGUGGUAGAGUGCUCGCCUAGCAUGUGUGAGGUGCUGGGUUUGAUUCUCAGCACCACA